RNAcentral lists this non-coding RNA (78 nucleotides) under unclassified sequences. Its description in RNAcentral is "RT-18 RNA". It matches the Rfam family "RT-18 RNA". From Rfam's summary of the family: Clostridiales (Firmicutes). The record is from Rfam by way of RNAcentral.
CGCCGCUUGGCGAAAAUUUUCACGACAGGACGCGGCUUAGUAGGCGAUGCUCGAAAUGCGGCGAAGUGAAAAAAGGAG